GCCAGGCACAGUGGAUUUGCCUGUAAUCCCAGCAAUUUGGGAGGCUGAGGCAGGAGGCUCUCAGGUUCAAAGCCAACCUCAGCAAUUUAGCAAGGCCUUAAGCAAUUUGGCAAGAUCCUGUCUCUA
This 126-nucleotide small RNA is filed under the name Marmota monax (woodchuck). The record is from RNAcentral. Lineage: Eukaryota; Metazoa; Chordata; Mammalia; Rodentia; Sciuridae.